AUCGCUUCUCGGCCUUUUGGCUAAGAUCAAGUGUAGUAUUCAAUAGGUCACAAAGGACAAUGUAAAUGGGCUUAUCCAAAGAUCACCAGCAGAUGGCAGUCUAGCAUAUUUAUUUUUACUUAGUGUUUUUGAGACAAGUCUCAAAACUUGUCUCUCUAUAGAUAAGACUAGUCUGAA
RNAcentral lists this small nuclear RNA (177 nucleotides) under Mus musculus (house mouse). RNAcentral's name for it is "U2 spliceosomal RNA". It matches the Rfam family "U2 spliceosomal RNA". Rfam says of the family: U2 is a small nuclear RNA (snRNA) component of the spliceosome (involved in pre-mRNA splicing). Complementary binding between U2 snRNA (in an area lying towards the 5' end but 3' to hairpin I) and the branchpoint sequence (BPS) of the intron results the bulging out of an unpaired adenosine, on the BPS, which initiates a nucleophilic attack at the intronic 5' splice site, thus starting the first of two transesterification reactions that mediate splicing. Lineage: Eukaryota; Metazoa; Chordata; Mammalia; Rodentia; Muridae. The record is from Rfam by way of RNAcentral.